CCUAACACAUGCAAGUCGAGCGGUAACAGAAAGUAGCUUGCUACUUUGCUGACGAGCGGCGGACGGGUGAGUAAUGCUUGGGAACAUGCCUUGAGGUGGGGGACAACAGUUGGAAACGACUGCUAAUACCGCAUAAUGUCUACGGACCAAAGGGGGCUUCGGCUCUCGCCUUUAGAUUGGCCCAAGUGGGAUUAGCUAGUUGGUGAGGUAAUGGCUCACCAAGGCGACGAUCCCUAGCUGGUUUGAGAGGAUGAUCAGCCACACUGGGACUGAGACACGGCCCAGACUCCUACGGGAGGCAGCAGUGGGGAAUAUUGCACAAUGGGCGCAAGCCUGAUGCAGCCAUGCCGCGUGUGUGAAGAAGGCCUUCGGGUUGUAAAGCACUUUCAGUCAGGAGGAAAGGUUAGUAGUUAAUACCUGCUAGCUGUGACGUUACUGACAGAAGAAGCACCGGCUAACUCCGUGCCAGCAGCCGCGGUAAUACGGAGGGUGCGAGCGUUAAUCGGAAUUACUGGGCGUAAAGCGUACGCA
This 531-nucleotide ribosomal RNA is filed under the name bacterium 4753K4-B17. RNAcentral's name for it is "bacterial SSU rRNA". It matches the Rfam family "Bacterial small subunit ribosomal RNA", at positions 47 to 573 of the family's 1533-position model. The record is from RNAcentral.